CCUACGGGAGGCAGCAGUGGGGAAUAUUGCACAAUGGGGGAAACCCUGAUGCAGCAACGCCGCGUGAGUGAAGAAGUAUUUCGGUAUGUAAAGCUCUAUCAGCAGGGAAGAAGAUGACGGUACCUGAAUAAGAAGCCCCGGCUAACUACGUGCCAGCAGCCGCGGUAAUACGUAGGGGGCGAGCGUUAUCCGGAUUUACUGGGUGUAAAGGGAGCGCAGACGGCAGGGCAAGUCUGGAGUGAAAGCCCGGGGCCCAACCCCGGAACUGCUAUGGAAACUGUGCGGGUAGAGUACGGGAUG
RNAcentral lists this ribosomal RNA (300 nucleotides) under uncultured bacterium. RNAcentral describes it as "bacterial SSU rRNA". It matches the Rfam family "Bacterial small subunit ribosomal RNA", at positions 338 to 655 of the family's 1533-position model. The record is from RNAcentral.